AAAAUAAUCAGCAUCUACAAGCAAUAUCAAAGACAUUGUAGCAGAGGCUAUUGUCAUUGCAAGAUGCAUGGAGAAAGUGUAAGCUCUCACAACAAUAGAUGAGGCUUCAUUAUAUCAUCGUUAUCCUACCUUGGGCAUUCUGAAAGGGAAAACAAGGCUCUUGGGUCCAUCCCCCAGCAGCCCAUAAGAGCAGCAGCACCAACUCCUCACACAACACUGAUCCUUGGCCAUUUCCCAAGGAAUUUUAAGGGAUCUCCUCCCACCACCGCUCUUUAAUACAGUUUAGCCUAUAACGAACAUGCAGUGAAAUAGGAUAUACAGAGGAUGCUUAGAGAACAAAGCCAAUACAAAAGUAAGUUACAUGACAAAGGCCCUGUAUUAUUUUUAGCACUUUUAUCUGUUUAGAAUUACUGUUGGAUGCAGACUUAUUCAUGACUACUAAAAGCGACUAGUCCCCAUUGCUGAGGCAAUGAGCGAGUUCAGGCAGACUGACGCGGUGGGGCAAAUCACCUCGCUGUUUGCUCACUUCCAGACCAACGUGUGCCCCUGGAAACACGCAGGUAAGGACCGCAACGAACGCCUUGAACUGCGAAUUCCAGCUCGGCUUCGGAAGGCAGCGCUCGGGCACGGCGCCAUACGGUGACCGGGGGGCAGCGGCGGCCCCCGCGCCCCCUCACGGCCUGGGGCCGCGUCAGAGCCCCGCGCUUCUGCCGCUGGCUCAGCCGGGGCGGCAGCGCUGUGGAACGCGUUUGCUUUAAGGAAAAAAAAAAGAAAAAAAAAAAAGUCUUUUGCCUACCCCACUCGAAGGCUGGGUGGAAAAGUUAGGGCGCCCCCAGGAAGGGGCGGCUCAGCGCCGGGGCUGGGCCUGCGGCGCCGCUUGCCCCACUCUGGCAGCCCGCGGGCUCCGUCCCGGCCGCCGUGCGGGAGCGGGCGGGCAGCGGACUUCGGCCCGCCGCCACCCCGGCCCGUUUCGAAACGGCACGAAGUCGCCCCGAGACACCCGUCAGAGAGGCCAAAGGCUGCGUUCCUGCAGGAAGUUCCACCCGCCCCCCUCCCUGCCUCCCCCGCGGACCUCUCCCCCCGCCGGGGCCGGCCCUUCCCGCGCAGGGGCAGCGGGACCGCGGCCGGGAGGGAAGAGGCGCGGGCGGCGGGCGCCCGGUCCUGCGGAGGGGCCGGUCCGGGGCGGCUGGGCGGGAACCGGCCCCGCUCCCGGCCGUUGUGCGGGGCUAGAGCCGCUGCGGGCAACGCCAGAGCGGGGGUGCCUGAUGCUCUAGGCCGGCACAGCUGUUCGUUCAGGAAGGGAGGAACGCUGAGGAAAGAAUCCUUUAAUAGUCUCCACCUGUAAAAGACAACCCUCCAACUUUCACCUGGGAUCAGUUUUGAAUUAGCCAUGUGAGAAUCAGCUGUGUGAACUCUGGGGUCAGACCCAUCCCUGGCAUCUUUUUUUUAUUAUUUUUUUAACCAACUGUUCUCCAUGGUUUGUUGUUUGUUUUCCAGAAGUUUGAGGGUUUAUACAGCCUAUUACAAGUUUUCCUAAAAAGAGAAAGAAAUGUAUCCUUCUUCCCAUGCUUUCCCAGAGAGGAAAAAAAACCCAAAACACUUUUGCAUAUGAGAUUGUACAUCAAAUUGUAAAUAAAUAUAGUUGUAUGUGGAAGAAUUUUAAUGUUUAUCAGCAUCCUGCACCUAAUUUUGUUACAGAGUUGGGCCUUAAGGGCUCAUGUAUGCUCUCACAAACUUUACAUUGCAGAGUUUCACCCAAGACAAUCAGUACAGUUCUGUUCCACCUUGUAGUAAGAAAAAAGCUGGUUAUUUCAGUGACUCAUUAAGGCAUGUUUUAUUUUAGUGAAAAAAACAAGCAUAUGAAACUUGAAUGUGUGAAAAUCAACUUUAACAAUGUAAUUAAUUUCUGAAAAAUUAGAUUUCACAAACACAAUACAGUAUUCAAUAUAUUUCCUGGAAAAAGCUUUCUUAUGUCUUUCAGAUGGGCAGUGCGUUACAGUGUAACAGCCUCUGGAUAGGUUGCCAUCUCUAGAACCCAGGGCAACAGCUUAGACAGAAGCCAUGGACUAGGGAGAAAUACUAUUUACAGCCCAAGGAUAUCUGUUUUCACUAAUUGUUUAUACCAAGAGGAAUGGUUUCAAGAGGAAAGAACAAGAGAAACGCAUUUCAAACUGAGGUCUUGCAUUUAGCACCUGAACCUGUGCAACACAGCUAAAACUAUGUUGCUUGCAAGGCUCACUGGCUUUUCUGAAGGUAAAAAAAUUGCCAUUCCUACUCAGCCUAAGGAUCUGGUGGUGUUAGACCGCAACUGUAGUCAGAGCACUCCUGGAGGAUCUGGGUCUAGUAAUAAGGUACGAAGUCACAAAUAAACAGAUUUUGCCUUUGCCUAUUUUAAGAGACAGGCCUCAAAACCUAGCAGUUUUUCACCUUCGGGAUAGCUGAAAAUUAAUUUCAAUGUUACACGUUUGUUUUGGAGAGACAUUGUCCUAGAUUUGGUCUGGCAGAAGGUACAGUGUGCAUACUCCUCAUUUCCAUUGCUGUGAAUUGGCUUAGAAGUUUGUGAAUUUGUUGUUUUUCUUAAAUUCUUACCUACUAGAGGCAGUUGAAGAGAGACUCCAAGGUAAGUAAGAUUCAUGGUUUGGGCAAAUACUUGAAAAUGAGCUUCACGUAUCAGGAACUAGAAGCAAAUCAAAAUCAGAUUGCAUGUAAUACAAAACAGUAUGCCACUUGACUGGUGCAUAGACUGCAUUAAAAGAAUAAUAAGAGAGCGAGUUUGAAAGCAGAUGUUUAUUUGUUUAUUGGCAUUCUUGUUAACCUUUUGGACAGUGAGAAUGGGUAAAGUAUACCAGGUUUACCUGAAAAUGACUGAUAUUUUAGAGUUUGCGCACUGUGUUAAUGCUUACAUCUUAAUUAGGAUUU
Molecule: long non-coding RNA, 2919 nt
Organism: Falco tinnunculus (common kestrel)
Lineage: Eukaryota; Metazoa; Chordata; Aves; Falconiformes; Falconidae
Source: Ensembl